Molecule: ribosomal RNA, 375 nt
Filed under: uncultured organism
Description: partial 16S ribosomal RNA
Rfam family: Bacterial small subunit ribosomal RNA
Source: RNAcentral
GUAGUUGGCAAGCGUUGUCCGGGAAUUAUUGGGGCGUAAAGCGCGCGCAGGCGGUUCUUUAAGUCUGAUGUGAAAGCCCACGGGCUCAACCGUGGAGGGUCAUUGGAAACUGGAGAACUUGAGUACAGAAGAGGAAAGCGGAAUUCCACGUGUAGCGGUGGAAUGCGUAGAGAUGUGGAGGAACACCAGUGGCGAAGGCGGCUUUCUGGUCUGUAACUGACGCUGAGGCGCGAAAGCGUGGGGAGCAAACAGGAUUAGAUACCCUGGUAGUCCACGCCGUAAACGAUGAGUGCUAAGUGUUAGGGGGUUUCCGCCCCUUAGUGCUGCAGCUAACGCAUUAAGCACUCCGCCUGGGGAGUACGGCCGCAAAGGCUG